This 611-nucleotide long non-coding RNA is filed under the name Mytilus galloprovincialis (Mediterranean mussel). Lineage: Eukaryota; Metazoa; Mollusca; Bivalvia; Mytilida; Mytilidae. The record is from RNAcentral.
CAUGACACGGGUUAUGUUCUCCUCAUAUAUGUUAUGAUGGUAUGAUACUAAACCCCUAACGGGAAGGAUUGUGCCUGAUGUUCAUAUGAUGAAAUCAUAAUCUUUCAGUCAGUUUAAUUGAAGUCUGGAGCUGGCAUGUCAGUUAACUGCUAGUAGUCUGUUGUUAUUUAUGUAUUAUUGUCAUUUUUGUUUAUUUUCUUUGGUUACAUCUUCUGACAUCAGACUCGGACUUCUCUUGAACUGAAUUUUAAUGUGCGUAUUGUUAUGCGUUUACUUUUCUACAUUGGUUAGAGGUAUAGGGGGGAGGGUUGAGAUCUCACAAACAUGUUUAACCCCGCCGCAUUUUUGCGCCUGUCCCAAGUCAGGAGCCUCUGGCCUUUGUUAGUCUUGCAUUAUUUUAAUUUUAGUUUCUUGUGUACAAUUUGGAAAUUAGUAUGGCGUUCAUUAUCACUGGACUAGUAUAUAUUUGUUUAGGGGCCAGCUGAAGGACGCCUCCGGGUGCGGGAAUUUCUCGCUACUGAAGACCUGUUGGUGACCUCUGCUGUUGUUUUUUAUUUUGGUCGGGUUGUUGUCUCUUUGACACAUUCCCAUUUCCAUUCUCAAUUUUAUAU